AACAGGCAGCUGCUGCUGCUUCUGUCCGGCCUGCAUCUGUGAAGUCUCCUAAUGCUGGUGCUGCAGCUUUGUCAAGUACAUCUAACUCUGCUCCAAUGACAGCUGCAGCAACCGCUGCUCCAGCCCCAGCAAUGAGCUUCAAUUACCCAAAUAUGACAGGGAACGAACCUCAGUAUUUGGCAAUUUUGCAGAAUAAUGCAUAUCCAUUUACAAUGCCGACUCAUGUAGGUGCCCCGCCAGCUUAUAGAGGACCCCAUGCUCAGCCAAUGCCUUAUUUUAAUGGGUCUUUCUAUUCUUCCCAAAUGCUCCAUCCUUCUCACCUUCAGCAGCAGCAGCAACAACCACCAUCCCAGUCACAGCAAAGUCAACAAGGUCAUCAAAACCCUAGCAUUUCUAGUGGCUCAUCAU
This 408-nucleotide long non-coding RNA is filed under the name Prunus persica (peach). RNAcentral's name for it is "long non-coding RNA (PPER_LNC000023)". The record is from RNAcentral. Lineage: Eukaryota; Viridiplantae; Streptophyta; Magnoliopsida; Rosales; Rosaceae.